RNAcentral lists this ribosomal RNA (363 nucleotides) under Bacteroides caecigallinarum. Its description in RNAcentral is "partial 23S ribosomal RNA". It matches the Rfam family "Bacterial large subunit ribosomal RNA", at positions 324 to 687 of the family's 2925-position model. The record is from RNAcentral. Lineage: Bacteria; Pseudomonadati; Bacteroidota; Bacteroidia; Bacteroidales; Bacteroidaceae.
UUUAGUGAGAAGAACGAUCUGGAAAGUUCGACCACAGACGGUGACAGUCCUGUAUUCGAAGCUAAACGAAGCAUAGUGUAAUCCUGAGUAGCGCGGGACACGAGGAAUCCUGCGUGAAUCCGCCGGGACCAUCCGGCAAGGCUAAAUACUCCCGAGAGACCGAUAGUGAACCAGUACCGUGAGGGAAAGGUGAAAAGCACUUCGAACAGAAGAGUGAAAUAGUACCUGAAACCGUGCGCCUACAAGCGGUCGGAGCUCUGCAAAGAGUGACGGCGUGCCUUUUGCAUAAUGAACCUACGAGUUACCGUGUCCGGCGAGGUUAAGGGCAAUGAUGCCCGGAACCGAAGCGAAAGCGAGUCCGAA